CCAACCUUGAAAUACCACCCUUUAAUGUUUGAUGUUCUAACGUAGGCCCCUUAUCGGGGUUGCGGACAGUGUCUGGUGGGUAGUUUGACUGGGGCGGUCUCCUCCCAAAGAGUAACGGAGGAGCACGAAGGUUAGCUAAUCCUGGUCGGACAUCAGGAGGUUAGUGCAAUGGCAUAAGCUAGCUUGACUGCGAGCGUGACGGCGCGAGCAGGUGCGAAAGCAGGUCAUAGUGAUCCGGUGGUUCUGAAUGGAAGGGCCAUCGCUCAACGGAUAAAAGGUACUCCGGGGAUAACAGGCUGAUACCGCCCAAGAGUUCAUAUCGACGGCGGUGUUUGGCACCUCGAUGUCGGCUCAUCACAUCCUGGGGCUGAAGUAGGUCCCAAGGGUAUGGCUGUUCGCCAUUUAAAGUGGUACGCGAGCUGGGUUUAGAACGUCGUGAGACAGUUCGGUCCCUAUCUGCCGUGGGCGCUGGAGAAUUGAGGGGGGCUGCUCCUAGUACGAGAGGACCGGAGUGGACGCAUCACUGGUGUUCGGGUUGUCAUGCCAAUGGCACUGCCCGGUAGCUAAAUGCGGAAGAGAUAAGUGCUGAAAGCAUCUAAGCACGAAACUUGCCCCG
This 616-nucleotide ribosomal RNA is filed under the name Klebsiella variicola. Its description in RNAcentral is "partial 23S ribosomal RNA". It matches the Rfam family "Bacterial large subunit ribosomal RNA", at positions 2186 to 2801 of the family's 2925-position model. Lineage: Bacteria; Pseudomonadati; Pseudomonadota; Gammaproteobacteria; Enterobacterales; Enterobacteriaceae. The record is from RNAcentral.